GAUGAACGCUGGCGGCGUGCCUAAUACAUGCAAGUCGAGCGAACAGACGAGGAGCUUGCUCCUCUGACGUUAGCGGCGGACGGGUGAGUAACACGUGGAUAACCUACCUAUAAGACUGGGAUAACUUCGGGAAACCGGAGCUAAUACCGGAUAAUAUAUUGAACCGCAUGGUUCAAUAGUGAAAGACGGUUUUGCUGUCACUUAUAGAUGGAUCCGCGCCGCAUUAGCUAGUUGGUAAGGUAACGGCUUACCAAGGCAACGAUGCGUAGCCGACCUGAGAGGGUGAUCGGCCACACUGGAACUGAGACAAGAUCCAGACUCCUACGGGAGGCAACAGUAGGGAAUCUUCCGCAAUGGGCGAAAGCCUGACGGAGCAACGCCGCGUGAGUGAUGAAGGUCUUCGGAUCGUAAAACUCUGUUAUUAGGGAAGAACAAAUGUGUAAGUAACUAUGCACGUCUUGACGGUACCUAAUCAGAAAGCCACGGCUAACUACGUG
This 497-nucleotide ribosomal RNA is filed under the name uncultured bacterium. Its description in RNAcentral is "partial 16S ribosomal RNA". It matches the Rfam family "Bacterial small subunit ribosomal RNA", at positions 28 to 507 of the family's 1533-position model. The record is from RNAcentral.